RNAcentral lists this ribosomal RNA (422 nucleotides) under uncultured bacterium. Its description in RNAcentral is "partial 16S ribosomal RNA". It matches the Rfam family "Bacterial small subunit ribosomal RNA", at positions 359 to 773 of the family's 1533-position model. The record is from RNAcentral.
GAAUCUUCCGCAAUGGACGAAAGUCUGACGGAGCAACGCCGCGUGAGUGAUGACGGGUUUCGGCUCGUAAAACCCUGUUGUUCAGGACGAACACUUGAGGUAGUAAAUGGCAUUGAGAUGACGGUACUUAACCAGAAAGCCACGGACAACUACGUGCCUGCAGCCGCGGUAAUACGAAGGUGGCAAGCGUGAACCGGAAUUAUGUGGCGUAAAGCGCGCGUAUGCUGUAAAAUCAUGCUGAGGUGAAAGCCCCCGGCUCAACCGGGGAGGGUCAUUGGAAACUGUUUUACUUGAGUACAGAAGAUGAGAGGGGAAUUCCAGGUGUAGCGGUGAAAUGCGCAGAGAUAUGGAGGAACACCAGUGGCGAAGGCGGCUCUCUGGUCUGUUACUGACGCUGAGGUGCGAAAGCGUGGGGAUCAAAC